This 20-nucleotide microRNA is filed under the name Corchorus olitorius. RNAcentral describes it as "bta-miR-16". Lineage: Eukaryota; Viridiplantae; Streptophyta; Magnoliopsida; Malvales; Malvaceae. The record is from RNAcentral.
CUGUUUUGUUUUGUGUUUUU